ACAAAAAACCUAAACUAACCUAAUCUACCAUUUGAAGGAAAAAAGAAAAAAAUAAAUAAAAGAAAACCUAAGCACACUCUCCCUCUGCGCCGCUCGGUGGAUCAUCGCCUCCUUCGAAGGCUCCCCGAACACUGCUCCAAACUCCGAUGACGACGGAGGGAGAGCGAAAGGUCCAGUCGAGUGUGCGUGUUCCAAAAAAAGGGGAUCCCUUUACAAAAAUCGAAAACGGCUUUAUAUAGCCGGAAAUACAAUAGAAAUUUUACAGGUAAUUUUUCUAAAUUCCUCCUAUUUUUCUCUGCUAUUCCUUUUGCGUUUGUUGCGUUCUGUUUUUUGCUCGUUUGUUGGUCCUUUGCAGGUACAUGGUCGUACGAGGGCCAGCAUGUACGGGGGCUAUGCGUGGGAGGGGCGUGCUUGUACGGAGGCUCGCGCACACACACGAGAGGGGGCUCGUGCUCGAUUGCGGCGCGGUAACUGCUGCCUAGGGUUUCUGAUAUCCCCAUGUUAGGCUAAUUUGGGCUGAGUGAUUUGGGCCUGGAGGGUUAAGUAUUGGGUUAACAAUUUAGGCUUGGGAAUUUUGGGUUUUGUAAUCGGGUUUGGACUUGGUUGUAAUAAACUGGACAUUUAUUUGGUUUAUUUGUUAUUUAUUUGGGUUCUAAUA
Molecule: long non-coding RNA, 658 nt
Organism: Gossypium raimondii (Peruvian cotton)
Lineage: Eukaryota; Viridiplantae; Streptophyta; Magnoliopsida; Malvales; Malvaceae
Exons: 2
Source: RefSeq, a predicted model, not a curated record